AGGACGAACGCUGGCGGCGUGCUUAACACAUGCAAGUCGAACGGAAAGGCCCUUCGGGGUACUCGAGUGGCGAACGGGUGAGUAACACGUGGGUGAUCUGCCCCGCACUUUGGGAUAAGCCUGGGAAACUGGGUCUAAUACCGAAUAGGACCAUGGCAUGCAUGUGCUGUGGUGGAAAGCUUUUGCGGUGUGGGAUGGGCCCGCGGCCUAUCAGCUUGUUGGUGGGGUUAAGGCCUACCAAGGCGACGACGGGUAGCCGGCCUGAGAGGGUGUCCGGCCACACUGGGACUGAGAUACGGCCCAGACUCCUACGGGAGGCAGCAGUGGGGAAUAUUGCACAAUGGGCGCAAGCCUGAUGCAGCGACGCCGCGUGGGGGAUGACGGCCUUCGGGUUGUAAACUCUUUCGACGGGACGAUAAUGACGGUACCGUAGAGAAGCUCCGGCUACGUUCGCGCCAGCAGCCGC
RNAcentral lists this ribosomal RNA (466 nucleotides) under uncultured bacterium. RNAcentral's name for it is "SSU rRNA". It matches the Rfam family "Bacterial small subunit ribosomal RNA", at positions 26 to 518 of the family's 1533-position model. The record is from RNAcentral.